UUGGAAUUGAGAUAAUACUCCAGAGAAAUUUGACUUUACUUUUUUUUGUUUCCGAAGUAACUCUCAUCAACUAGCACUAGUUUGAGGUGAACUAGCACUAGUUUGAUGUCAACCUUUAGGAGUAAUUCAUCAAAUCGGUUAAAUCUAAAAUAAUAACAUACUCUUUAUUUAAUACGAUCCCACUAUAUAUAUCGAUUUAUAUAGAGAUUCACCGACUACAUUUCAGCCAUCCAGCGAUCCUGAUCUAUUUGAAAAUUGCUAGAAUUUCUAUAUCCAUAUAUCAUAUUUCUGCAGGCCUAAGAGUUUUUUCCUUUAUGUUCGGUGGAAAUCGCAUGUUAUACUACAUUCCACUAAAUAGAUAU
This 362-nucleotide long non-coding RNA is filed under the name Nicotiana benthamiana. Its description in RNAcentral is "long non-coding RNA (NBEN_LNC027831)". Lineage: Eukaryota; Viridiplantae; Streptophyta; Magnoliopsida; Solanales; Solanaceae. The record is from RNAcentral.